CUCAUUACUACUCUUCGCUCAAGAAAAAAACGUCCCUUUUCCCUCCUCCUUUCCCACCCAUUCGCGCAAGAAACAAACAGAAACUCGGGCACACGAGAAGAAAAAGAGCACAGCCCAGUUCACCUCGGGGACGGGGUACUCCGACUCCAGCUCGAUCCUGCUGUCGAGGAUUCUGAGGAUGUGAGCGUCGAACGGCGACAUGACGACGCUCUCGGCAGAGUAUCGUCUCCCUCGAGGUAGGAGCGCGAGGGCCGCGUCUUGCGGCGGGAAUGGAGGCCGCCGCUGUCGGGAGAGAAGGCUUGCGAGGGUUUCGGGGCGGAGGAGAGGUCUCCGAACCGAACGCGCGAGGCGCGAGCAGGGAGAAGCCAUUUUCGCUCUGGACUCUCUCGAGUUCGACGCUGCUUUGCCG
RNAcentral lists this long non-coding RNA (409 nucleotides) under Eucalyptus grandis. RNAcentral's name for it is "long non-coding RNA (EGRA_LNC001573)". The record is from RNAcentral. Lineage: Eukaryota; Viridiplantae; Streptophyta; Magnoliopsida; Myrtales; Myrtaceae.